RNAcentral lists this ribosomal RNA (464 nucleotides) under uncultured Anaerolineaceae bacterium. RNAcentral describes it as "bacterial SSU rRNA". It matches the Rfam family "Bacterial small subunit ribosomal RNA", at positions 906 to 1382 of the family's 1533-position model. Lineage: Bacteria; Bacillati; Chloroflexota; Anaerolineae; Anaerolineales; Anaerolineaceae. The record is from RNAcentral.
GGAAUUGACGGGGACCCGCACAAGCAGCGGAGCGUGUGGUUUAAUUCGUUGCUACACGAAGAACCUUACCUGGGUUUGACAUAUAGGUUGUAGGGAACUGAAAAGGGACCGACCCUUCGGGGAGCCUAUACAGGUGUUGCGUGGCUGUCGUCAGCUCGUGUCGUGAGAUGUUCGGUUAAGUCCGCUAACGAGCGCAACCCUCGCUGUGUGUUACAAGUGUCACACGGAACUGCCGGUCAUAAACCGGAGGAAGGUGGGAUGACGUCAAGUCAGCAUGGCCUUUAUAUCCUGGGCUACACACACGCUACAAUGGGAAGGGACAAUAGGUUGCGAAGCCGCGAGGCGGAGCCAAUCCAGCAAAACUUCCCUCAGUUCAGAUUGCAGGCUGCAACCCGCCUGCAUGAAGUUGGAGUUGCUAGUAAACGCAGGUCAGCCAUACUGCGUUGAAUACGUUCCCGGGGCUU